Molecule: transfer RNA, 76 nt
Filed under: Gammaproteobacteria bacterium
Lineage: Bacteria; Pseudomonadati; Pseudomonadota; Gammaproteobacteria
Description: tRNA-Gly
Rfam family: tRNA
About the family: Transfer RNA (tRNA) molecules are approximately 80 nucleotides in length.
Source: RNAcentral
GCGGGAAUAGCUCAGCUGGUAGAGCGACACGUUGCCAACGUGUAGGUCGCGAGUUCGAACCUCGUUUCCCGCUCCA